UACAUAAUUGAUACGACAUUAACUUGUUCAUUUCUAAUCUAAAUGUAUCCCCAUAUUGAAAACGUUACAUAAGACUUCCGUAACAGUCCAAUGACUGCUGUAAAGUAGAACUGUUUCUACUCUGUUUCGUCUGUUUACUUAUUUUGAUUUUAAAUUUUGAAAUUUGUAAUCGUUCUUCUUUUUCAGACUCACAAUGGACAGGGACCGUUUACCCUUCCAUAACUGGUUUGCUGCUUGUGAAUUUUAUUUUCAUGUAGGCGAGGACAGGCAAUUCAAAACACAAAGAAAUAAUGAUAGCUGUGUGUUGCUACAAAGAACAGACAAUGUGAUGAUGACUAACAGGAAGCGAACCUCAACGAGGAUGACUACAAAGUUGAAUUUUUGAUUAAUUCUAUUCUGGGGAACUGCCCUGACUAUUAUUGGUUAUUUUAAAAUUUGAUAUUUAUAAAUAAAUGAAUAAAUGUGGAUAUAACAGUUCACGGAUGGCUUGAUUAAAACUUAAGUUUUG
This is a long non-coding RNA of Ruditapes philippinarum (Manila clam), 508 nucleotides long. RefSeq lists it as uncharacterized. The record is from RefSeq and is a predicted model, not a curated record. The transcript has 2 exons. NCBI's taxonomy places the organism in Eukaryota, Metazoa, Mollusca, Bivalvia, Venerida, Veneridae.